GGGUUUUGGACUCGACAGCAACUUGUGGAAGCAGUCAGGUCAAGGAUUCCAAAAUUUACUGUUACUUAGGGUCUUAGAUUUGAGUUUAGAUUAUAAAAUAGACUCUAAAGGGUGGAGAAUACCUUCGAGCAUUGGAAAACUCAUUCAUUUGAGAUAUUUGAGAUUAGAGAUGGGUCAUGCAACUCAUGUACCUUCUUCUUUACGGAAUCUAAAGCUUCUAAUCUAUUUGAGAAUUUACUCCUGGAAAAGAGUUCAUCUGCCAAGUAUCUUUAAAGAGAUGGUAGAGUUGAGGUUCCCUAUCUACAUUUUUUUUUAAUUUUUAAAACUUUAGUUAUUGUUUUCCAUUUGUUCCUCAUCAAGAUUAGAGGAGAAAAUAUUUGUUAAAGAAUUCCCACGAUUAUGAGGAAAACAAAUGAAUAUAAUGAAACCUAUGUAUUAACAAUUUGACAAAACAUUCAACUCAAUUGGUAACAAUUUGAAGAAAUAAAAAAUUCAUCAUUUUUUUUUCUAAAAUGGUGUCACCAAUUGAAACCCUAGUGUUUGCAGUUGCAGGCGGUUGCAGGAGGCUAGGGUAAUUUUUUUUUUUUUUAACAAUAUAAAUACAAAAAUACAAAUAAAAAUUUAAAUUUAAAUUGAAAUACUAAAAUAUAUCUAUUAUAUCUAAAUUUAUAUUAUGAAUUUUUAAAAUAAAAAUAUUUUCAAUAAUUUUUAAAUUUUAAAACUAUAUAUUUCUAAUAUAAUUUUUAUAUUUAUUAUAACAUUAUGAUGUUUAAUAUUUUUAUAAUUAUAGAAAAUAUAAAUAUUGUUAAUUUAUUAUUUAACCGUUGUAUAUUUGGUUGUUAAUCUGUCAUACGCAUCCCGCAAACGAGCCGAUUUUUAACCACAGUAUCAGUCAUACAAAUUUCUUAAAACCGCUUAAAAUUACAAUCAACCGCAUCCGCGAAAUCUCGCAACCACAACCGCGAAUCUCGCAGCCACAACCACUACGGUUACACCAGUCAUGUCCUAAGUAAACUAUAAAAAGGGCCAUCAUAAAAACUAACAAUUCUCCGGAUAGUUAUUAAGUUAGACAAUAUAUAUAGAUUCCUCUUAACUAAUAAAAUUAAUUAUUUAUUAAUAAUAUCAACGACUUUAACCGAUUUUAACAUUUAAGGUGAGAGCUAAUAAAAAAUACUAAAUCAUUAAUAAUAUAAAUUUAUUAUUUUGAACAUUUAAAAGGACUAGACACAUAUUAUUUAGGCUCUAAUCUCAUAGUACUGUUUUCAGAAUUUAUUGUUGAUGAAGAACUAGAAGCCAUGGGAAGGAAAAUGGUCAAAUAUUGUGGAGGACUACCAUUAGCUGUUAAAGUGUUGGGAGGUUUGUUAGCUAAUAAAAUCAUGGUUGAAGAGUGGAAAAGAGUAGAUGACAAUAUUAAAACUCAGAUAGUUCGCAGAGAUGACAAAAAUCAAGAUUCGGUUUACCGAGUAUUGUCUAUGAGCUAUGAAGAUUUGCCAAUGCAGUUGAAGAAUUGCUUCCUCUACCUAGCUCAUUUUCCAGAAGAUUACAAGAUAGAAGCAGAGCAAUUGUAUUAUUACUGGGAAGCAGAAGGAAUAAUAACGUCAAGUGUCGAUGGAGAAACCACUAGGAAAAUUGGAGAAGACUACAUAGACGAGCUAGUAAGGAGAAAUAUGAUUAUUGGAGUAAAAGAGGAUUUGAGUUGCAGAUGGGAGUAUUGUCAAAUGCAUGACAUGAUGAGAGAAGUAUGUUUAUCUAAAGCCAAAGAAGAGAACUUUCUUCAGUUUAUCAAAGUCCCUACUACUUCCACCUCCACCAUCAAUGCUCAUACUCCUACCAGAUCUCGCAGACUCGUAGUACACGGUGGUGGUAAUGCAUUUGAUAUGCUGGAACGUAAAAACAAUCAAAAAGCUAGAUCUGUUUUGGGUUUUGGACUCGACAGCAACUUGUGGAAGCAGUCAGGUCAAGGAUUCCAAAAUUUACUGUUACUUAGGGUCUUAGAUUUGAGUUUAGAUUAUAAAAUAGACUCUAAAGGGUGGAGAAUACCUUCGAGCAUUGGAAAACUCAUUCAUUUGAGAUAUUUGAGAUUAGAGAUGGGUCAUGCAACUCAUGUACCUUCUUCUUUACGGAAUCUAAAGCUUCUAAUCUAUUUGAGAAUUUACUCCUGGAAAAGAGUUCAUCUGCCAAGUAUCUUUAAAGAGAUGGUAGAGUUGAGGUUCCUGAUUCUUCCCCGUUCUUUU
Molecule: long non-coding RNA, 2234 nt
Filed under: Brassica napus (rape)
Lineage: Eukaryota; Viridiplantae; Streptophyta; Magnoliopsida; Brassicales; Brassicaceae
Description: long non-coding RNA (BNAP_LNC004016)
Source: RNAcentral